RNAcentral lists this ribosomal RNA (284 nucleotides) under uncultured bacterium. Its description in RNAcentral is "partial 16S ribosomal RNA". It matches the Rfam family "Bacterial small subunit ribosomal RNA", at positions 230 to 507 of the family's 1533-position model. The record is from RNAcentral.
CCUGCGGGCCAUUAGCUUGUUGGUGAGGUAACGGCUCACAAGGCUGUGAUGGCUAGCUGGUCUGAGAGGAUUGACCAGCCACACUGGGACUGAGACACGGCCCAGAUCCUACGGAGGCAGCAGUGGGGAAUAUUGCGCAAUGGGCGAAAGCCUGACGCAGCGACGCCGCGUGGGUGAUGAAGGCCUUCGGGUCGUAAAGCCCUGUCGCAGGGGAAGAAUAAGCAUCGGUAUAAUACGCCGGUGCCCUGACGGUACCCUGCAAGAAAGCACCGGCUAACUCCGUG